Molecule: unclassified non-coding RNA, 357 nt
Filed under: soil metagenome
Description: partial contains 5.8S ribosomal RNA, internal transcribed spacer 2, and large subunit ribosomal RNA
Rfam family: 5.8S ribosomal RNA (bases 1-120)
Source: RNAcentral
GAUGAAGAACGCAGCGAAAUGCGAUAAGUAAUGUGAAUUGCAGAAUUCAGUGAAUCAUCGAAUCUUUGAACGCACAUUGCGCCCGCUGGUAUUCCGGCGGGCAUGCCUGUUCGAGCGUCAUUUCAACCCUCAAGCUCUCCGGAGUUUGGUGUUGGGGCGCCUGGGGCUUUUCGACCUCAGGGCCCUCAAGUCCAUCGGCGGGACCGCCAGGACACUGAGCGCAGUAGUAUUAUUUCGCUCGGUAGGAUCUUCCACGGCGGGUCGAUCUGGCCGCUAAACCCCCCAAUUAUCACCAAAGGUUGACCUCGGAUCAGGUAGGAAUACCCGCUGAACUUAAGCAUAUCAAUAAGCGGAGGA